CUCUGCCAUGCCAAUUAGGAUCAGUUCUGAUUUUUCUUCCUGAGGAGAACACGAGCAUUUGGGACAGAAACCAAGCAGCCUGCCUGACUUCACUGAACAGCCAGGUCCCAAACAGCUGAUGCUGCAUUAUCAGCAAGGACCACAGCUGAUUACUGGCUCAUUAGUUAUCUCUCCUCUGGCCAUUUAGAGCAAAAUGAACAGAAAAUGCUCAUGGUCUCUGAAGAGUUGCUCCUUCCCAAAUUCAAGGCUCGCCUCCAUUUGCUGUCUUCCAACACCUGGAUGGCAACCUGCCUGGACCUGACCUCCGCUAUGGAGUUAGGAUAAGGAAGUUCACAGAGUACUUCUUGCAAGUAACUCAGAACCAUGGAAACUGCGAAAACAAAACCCAAAGAGCUUUCAAUGGUGUUGACAGACAACUCCAGAUUGUUAUCCAGGACAUGGUUUACAACCAAAGUGCAAGAGAUCACCAGACAUAUGCAAAAUACAUCGCAACUUCCGAGGAAAAAACUUAUCAGAGUCAGGGCCAUUACUGGAGCUCAUUAGAAUAUGAAAACCCAAAAUACCAUGACUGAGCCUUGACUUCUUUGCACUCUGCCAGUUGCUCCUACAUGGAAAGUCUCUGUACCCAUUUUAAACUGUGGAGAGAAAAAGAAAAAAGAAGUGGGUUUAACAAAGGGAGGGGAAAAAAAAAGUCCUGGAUCUAUGGCCUCAUGGUGAAAGUUUCCAGAGGUUCCAAAACCUGACAAAUUAAAUUACCUUCAUAUCACAGACACUCAACCUGCCUGAAAAACUAAUGCUUUAAACAGAAUACCUGGAAGAUAACCAAAUUCAGGUAGCCCCCAGUCAACCUUCCUGGUCACCAUUUGCAUUGCUGGGGUAGUUUGAAGCCAGAAAUUUAGAAGUUUUGCUGUGCAGCUGCUUGAGGAUCAGGCCUCAUCACCAAAUGCUCACUUUAUCACUUCGAUAAGCCAGGAGAGUCAGCAUCCCUCCCUGCCCACGCCAACCUGACACACCUGGACUACACAUUUCAUUUCCCUCACAUCCAACCAGCAACAACAGCCUCUUGAGGGGUUUUUAUUUGUAAGAUAGACCAAUCUCGUUCUCUCCUUACCCCCUCUCUGGUAAAGGGGGUUAGACUCUGGGUAGGGCAAUUCUUUUGUUCAGGGCUUGUAGAGCGUGGGCUGGUUAAAGGCUGCA
This 1197-nucleotide long non-coding RNA is filed under the name Junco hyemalis (dark-eyed junco). RNAcentral describes it as "lncRNA (ENSJHYG00000007839.1)". Lineage: Eukaryota; Metazoa; Chordata; Aves; Passeriformes; Passerellidae. The record is from RNAcentral.